This is a long non-coding RNA of Mizuhopecten yessoensis (Yesso scallop), 1108 nucleotides long. RefSeq lists it as uncharacterized. The record is from RefSeq and is a predicted model, not a curated record. The transcript has 5 exons. NCBI's taxonomy places the organism in Eukaryota, Metazoa, Mollusca, Bivalvia, Pectinida, Pectinidae.
CUCACACUAAUACAUACAGCGGUAGCGGAAACAACCGAUAACCGGACAAGGCUGUCUAGGCUGUAAAUCAUGUCAGUCUAGGCUUUAAGUCAAGGUGUGACGUGUGAACAUCGAUUUUACAGAUGAAUGCUGAAUCAGGGUAUCAAGAUACUGCAAGCGGUUCAACCAGUCGGUCAGCAAACAUUGGCAAGAGGCAGCGCAACACUGCAAAGAGGCAGCAAAACAGUGGAAAGAGUCAGCAAAACAGUGGAAAAGGGCAGCAAAACAGGGGAAAGAGUCAGCAAAACAGUGGAAAUAGGCAGCAAAACAGUGGAAAGAGGCAGCAAAACAUAUCCGCAGAGACUGUAUGUAAGAAAUCAGAGGAAGAUAGCGUGAAAAGAAGUGUAAGAGGAAGAACAAAAUUUGUCGGCAGACGGAUAUUUCAUUUGUGGAUUAGUGAUGAAGGUAGUGGCCAAAGAAAGUGGUUCUAAGGAAACGUUCUAACGGUUUUAUCUGGUUCUGACGGGGACCCCAAAGCAGAGUAUGAAAUUUUGUACGAUGAUGAUGAUCAGCCAUAUGCAGUUGAUAAUCUGCAGCAGGUCUUUAAAGAUGGAAAUGUGAAGUUUAUAGAUUGUUGAGGUUAAGCAACACAAAGGAAGUUGGCAGUUUUUUGUGAAGGCAUAGACUUGAAGAUGUCUACAGAGUAAUACAUGAGCUGGCCACACAGAGGUGAUUAUUUCAUUAUAAGUCAUAAUAAUCCCAAUAUGUAUUUAUCCUUUUGAAUGUCCCGUCAUAGUGUACGUCCGUGAAUAGUUUUCACCGUUUAUGAGUAACGUCAACAGUAAAUGCCAAAAGGCCAUACACUUAUAAUAUAUGUGUAAAGGUAAAUUGUAAUCCAUAUUGUAACUAAUAGAUAAGGAAAUAGUAUAUGUCCUUUUUCCAUUUCAUUAUUUGUUAUUAUAUAAUCCCCGGUUAAACGUAUGUAUUUUACAGCUAAGUGGUAAUUGUCAGAUUGUACUCGUAUAUGUUAUAUAUGUAUCGAUAGCGUUAUGUGUAUACGUAGUUAAGUAUUGUAUGUUUGUAUCGUUGCAGGGUAAGAUUUACCUACAAUAAAACCACUGGUUCGUUA